AACCCCAGGAGCUAGCCCACAAAACCAAAGCAACAAACCCUAUUAAUACCCCUAAAAAUAUGAAACAACAACCAGCAAACCAUUUUUUCCUCUCAGUACGGGAGACAGAAAAGAGACUAAAGGCGCCAUAGAAAAAGUACCGCAAGGGAAAGCUGAAAGAGAACUUAAACAACCCAGUACAAGGACAAAAAAGCAGAGAUUAAUACUCGUACCUUUUGCAUCAUGACUUAGCAAGUAACCCCAAGCGAAGAGACCUGUACGUUUGAACCCCCGAAACUGGGCGAGCUACUCCAAGACAGCCUAUCAUAGGGCGAACCCGUCUCUGUUGCAAAAGAGUGGGAAGAACUUUGAGUAGAGGUGACAAACCUACCGAGCCCAGUAAUAGCUGGUUGCCUGAGAAAUGAAUAUAAGUUCAGCCUUUUGGGCUCUUACACCUACCCCGGCCUAACCCCCUCCCGGCAAAAAGAAAGCCAAAAGAGCUAUUCGGAGGAGGCACAGCUCCCCCGAACCAAGAUACAACUUUUUUAAGUGGCUAAAGACUAGACGAAAUAAGGCACAGUGCCCGAGCGGGCUUAGAAGCAGCCACCCCGCCCGAAAGCGUCAAAGCUUAAGCACCUGGCCCCUUUGAUCCAAGUAGAACCCUCUUACGCCCCUAAACAUAUCAGGCCCUUCCAUGCAAACAUGGAAAAGAAACUGCUAACAUGAGUAAUAAGAAAGGCCCGCCUUUCUCCCGGCCCCAGUGUAACCAGAACAGACUCUAACUGAAAAUUAACGCCCCCAGCCCAGCGGGCUCUGAGCCACACAACCUAGACUAGAAGACCACUCAGACUUUCAGCGUUAGCCCUACACCGGAGGGCUUAAAGGAAAGACAUAAAGAAAAGGAAGGAACUCGGCAAACACUAGCCUCGCCUGUUUACCAAAAACAUCGCCUCUUGCAAGCCCAGUAUAAGAGGUCCUGCCUGCCCAGUGACCAAGGUUUAACGGCCGCGGUAUUUUGACCGUGCAAAGGUAGCGUAAUCACUUGUCUUUUAAAUGAAGACCCGUAUGAAUGGCGUAACGAGGGCUAAACUGUCUCCUUUUUCUAGUCAAUGAAAUUGAUCUCCCCGUGCAGAAGCGGGCAUACCCCCAUAAGACGAGAAGACCCUGUGGAGCUUCAGACCAAAGGCAGCCUGAGCCACUUACCCUUAAAACAAGGGCUAAACUCGAGCUUAGCCCCUGCCCUUAUGUCUUUGGUUGGGGCGACCGCGGGGGAACACCCAGCCCCCGCGCGGAACGGGACCCUCCCCGAAACCAGAGCCACAGCUCUAACAAGCAGAACUUCUGACCGCAAGAUCCGGCACCGCCGAUCAACGGACCAAGUUACCCCAGGGAUAACAGCGCAAUCCCCUUUCAGAGCCCAUAUCGACAAGGGGGUUUACGACCUCGAUGUUGGAUCAGGACCUCCUAAUGGUGCAGCCGCUAUUAAGGGUUUGUUUGUUCAACGAUUAAAGUCCU
Molecule: ribosomal RNA, 1494 nt
Filed under: Cryptopsilotris batrachodes (toadfish goby)
Lineage: Eukaryota; Metazoa; Chordata; Actinopteri; Gobiiformes; Gobiidae
Description: partial 16S ribosomal RNA
Rfam family: Bacterial large subunit ribosomal RNA
Source: RNAcentral